Non-coding RNA from Delphinapterus leucas (beluga whale), 312 nucleotides. NCBI's taxonomy places the organism in Eukaryota, Metazoa, Chordata, Mammalia, Artiodactyla, Monodontidae. The record is from RefSeq and is a predicted model, not a curated record.
UGGGGGUGAUGGGGCAGGUGGGGGCAAAGCAGGAGCCAAAAACAUUCCCAAUUGAUGAAUCUGUGGAACCUGAGAGCUCUCUUUCACCAAUGUGAGUACUUAGGACCACAUCAGCAUGGACUUCUGGAAGCCAUCUUUGCUACCAGGUGAGCAGAGCCUGCCUGGGAAUGAAGCCACCACAGAGGAAAGCAGACCCAAGCAAGUCCUGAUGCUACCAUUUGAGCCCCUGGAUCCAGCCAUGCCUGAAGCCAUAACUCCUGAAAUAACAGUUACCUGAACGAAUAAAUUCCCCCCCCCUUUUUUUUUUGGUCA